GAUGAACGCUGGCGGCGUGCCUAAUACAUGCAAGUCGAGCGAACGGACGAGAAGCUUGCUUUUCUGAUGUUAGCGGCGGACGGGUGAGUAACACGUGGAUAACCUACCUAUAAGACUGGGAUAACUUCGGGAAACCGGAGCUAAUACCGGAUAAUAUUUUGAACCGCAUGGUUCAAAAGUGAAAGACGGUCUUGCUGUCACUUAUAGAUGGAUCCGCGCUGCAUUAUCUAGUUGGUAAGGUAACGGCUUACCAAGGCAACGAUGCAUAGCCGACCUGAGAGGGUGAUCGGCCACACUGGAACUGAGACACGGUCCAGACUCCUACGGGAGGCAGCAGUAGGGAAUCUUCCGCAAUGGGCGAAAGCCUGACGGAGCAACGCCGCGUGAGUGAUGAAGGUCUUCGGAUCGUAAAACUCUGUUAUUAGGGAAGAAAAUAUGUGUAAGUAACUGUGCACAUCUUGACGGUACCUAAUCAGAAAGCCACGGCUAACUACGUG
This 497-nucleotide ribosomal RNA is filed under the name uncultured bacterium. RNAcentral's name for it is "partial 16S ribosomal RNA". It matches the Rfam family "Bacterial small subunit ribosomal RNA", at positions 28 to 507 of the family's 1533-position model. The record is from RNAcentral.